This 1382-nucleotide ribosomal RNA is filed under the name Plethodontohyla brevipes (Betsileo digging frog). RNAcentral describes it as "partial 16S ribosomal RNA". It matches the Rfam family "Bacterial large subunit ribosomal RNA", at positions 406 to 2585 of the family's 2925-position model. Lineage: Eukaryota; Metazoa; Chordata; Amphibia; Anura; Microhylidae. The record is from RNAcentral.
GCUUAAAUACUAGCCCACUAAUUUACCCACCUUACCCCCUCCCCCAAAAACAUUUCUACCAUUAAGUAACGGCGAUUAAAAAAUGAUUAAGAGCUAUAAAAAUAGUACCGCAAGGGAAAUAUGAAAUAUAAUGAAAAAUCUUAAAGCACAAAAUAGCAAAGCUCUAACCUUGUACCUUUUGCAUCAUGAUCUAGCUAGUUCACCCAAGCAAAAUGCAUUUAAAGUUUGACCCCCCGAAACUAAGCGAGCUACUUUAAAACAGCCUCACGAGCCAACCCGUCUCUGUAGCAAAAGAGUGGGAAAAUUUUAAAGUAGAGGUGACACACCUAUCGAGCUUAGAGAUAGCUGGUUAUUCAAGAAAAGGAUUUAAGUCCACCUUUAAGUUUUUUUACUAAUACUAAAUCCCUAAUAAACUUAAAAGCCAUUCAAAUAAGGUACAGCCUAUUUGAACUAGGAAACAACCUCUAAUAUAGGGUAAUGAUCUUCUACAUGUGACCAAGUAGGCCUAAAAGCAGCCAACUUCCAAACAGCGUCCAAGCUUUAUCACUAACCAUUAUUAAUCCCAUCAUCUUCACAUAACCCACAACUACCACUGAAUAACCCCAUACCACUAUGGGAGAUAUUAUGCUAGAACUAGUAACAAGAACAAGUGCUUCUCCAAAAUAUUAAGCGUAAGCCAAAAUGAACAACUCACUGGCAUUCACCGCCAUAGACUCAUAGUACCAACUCAACAAGAAAACCCUACUACACCUGACGUCAACCUUACACUAGAACAUUACUGGAAAGAUUAAAAAAGAGGGAAGGAACUCGGCAAAUAUUAGCCCCGCCUGUUUACCAAAAACAUCGCCUCUUGACAACCAUAAGAGGUCCAGCCUGCCCAGUGACUAAAAGUUAAACGGCCGCGGUACCCUAACCGUGCAAAGGUAGCACAAUCACUUGUUCUUUAAAUUAGGACUAGUAUGAAUGGCCUCACGAGAGCUAUACUGUCUCCCCUCUUUAAUCAGUGAAACUGAUCUCCUCGUGAAGAAGCGAGGAUAUAUUCAUAAGACGAGAAGACCCCAUGGAGCUUAAAACUUAUACCACUGCCUACAACUAUACCCAUAAACCAAGCAAUCAUGGUAACUAGUCUUUCGGUUGGGGCGACCACGGAGAAAAACUAAACCUCCACGAUGAAAGGAGUACCCCUAAUUUAAGAGCCACUACUCUAAAAAUCAAUAAAUUGACAUAAAUUGACCCAAACAUUUGAUCAACGAACCAAGUUACCCUGGGGAUAACAGCGCAAUCCAUUUCAAGAGACCCCAUCGACAAAUGGGCUUACGACCUCGAUGUUGGAUCAGGGUGUCCCAGUGGUGCAGCCGCUACUAACGGUUCGUUUGUUCAAC